RNAcentral lists this ribosomal RNA (626 nucleotides) under Lambiella fuscosora. RNAcentral's name for it is "eukaryotic LSU rRNA". The stretch from base 197 to 350 matches the Rfam family "5.8S ribosomal RNA". The record is from RNAcentral. Lineage: Eukaryota; Fungi; Ascomycota; Lecanoromycetes; Baeomycetales; Xylographaceae.
CGUAGGUGACCUGCGGAAGGAUCAUUACCGAGAUAGGGUCUUCUGGGCCCGAACCUCCCACCCUUGUAUACUUAUCUUUGUUGCUUUGGCGGGCCGCGGGGUCCCCGGACCCCCCGUCGACCACGGUGGACGAGCGCCCGUCAGAGACCCAUAAACCCGUUAAAUCAGUGAUGUCCGAGUAUGAUGUAAUAGUUAAAACUUUCAACAACGGAUCUCUUGGUUCUGGCAUCGAUGAAGAACGCAGCGAAAUGCGAUAAGUAAUGUGAAUUGCAGAAUUCAGUGAAUCAUCGAAUCUUUGAACGCACAUUGCGCCCUCUGGUAUUCCGGGGGGCAUGCCUGUUCGAGCGUCAUUACACCCCUCAAGCAUUGCUUGGUAUUGGGCGAUCGUCCCCCCCGGGGCGCGUCCGAAAGUUAGCGGCGACGCGUUCGGUCUCCAUGCGUAGUAAAACUUCUGUUUCGCAUCUGCAGCCCGGGCGUGUUGGCCGGACAACCCCUUUAUUUUUCAACAGUUGACCUCGGAUCAGGUAGGGAUACCCGCUGAACUUAAGCAUAUCAAUAAGCGGAGGAAAAGAAACCAACAGGGAUUGCCUCAGUAACGGCGAGUGAAGCGGCAACAGCUCAAAUUU